AUGUGUAUUCCAAAGAAGGAAGGUGGUAUGGGAUUCAGAGAUAUCCACUGGUUUAACCUUGCACUGGCCAAAUAGGCAUGGCGUCUUAUUGGUAACCUUGACUCUCUACAUGCAUUGAUUUUAAAAGCUAAAUACGUCCCAGAUGGAGACCUUAUUAAUGCAGUUUGAAAAAAGAAAGUGUCCAACACUUGGCAAAGUAUCAUGGCAGGAGUGGAAACACUGAAACGUGAACAUAUUUGUAGAGUUGGAGAUGGAGCUCAAGUCAAGAUUUGGGAGGAUUCUUGGAUUCCGCGGUCCCCAUCAAGAAAGAUAAUUACACCAAAGGGAAAGCAUCUUCCCUCACGUGUCAGUGAUCUUAUUGACCCUGCAUCAGGCUAUUGGGAUGAACAAGUGGUUACGCAAACGUUCUGGCACAUGGAUGCUCAAAGGAUACUUGCAAUUCCCCUGCCCUUGAAUGAAAUGAAAGACUUUGUGGCUUGGAACCUAACAAAAGCGAGAUUUUUUCAGUGA
Molecule: ribosomal RNA, 510 nt
Filed under: Triticum aestivum (bread wheat)
Lineage: Eukaryota; Viridiplantae; Streptophyta; Magnoliopsida; Poales; Poaceae
Description: partial small subunit ribosomal RNA
Source: RNAcentral